GGCCCAGUGGCUCAGUUGGUUAGAGCGCCGCCCUGUCACGGCGGAGGCCGUCGGUUCGAGUCCGAUCUGGGUCG
Molecule: transfer RNA, 74 nt
Filed under: Lachnospiraceae bacterium
Lineage: Bacteria; Bacillati; Bacillota; Clostridia; Lachnospirales; Lachnospiraceae
Description: tRNA-Asp
Rfam family: tRNA
About the family: Transfer RNA (tRNA) molecules are approximately 80 nucleotides in length. Their secondary structure includes four short double-helical elements and three loops (D, anti-codon, and T loops). Further hydrogen bonds mediate the characteristic L-shaped molecular structure. tRNAs have two regions of fundamental functional importance: the anti-codon, which is responsible for specific mRNA codon recognition, and the 3' end, to which the tRNAs corresponding amino acid is attached (by aminoacyl-tRNA synthetases). tRNAs cope with the degeneracy of the genetic code in two manners: having more than one tRNA (with a specific anti-codon) for a particular amino acid; and 'wobble' base-pairing, i.e. permitting non-standard base-pairing at the 3rd anti-codon position.
Source: RNAcentral